UUUUACAUCUACAUCACUGGACUAAUACGGCUAUAAUCUCUCUCUCUCUUUAUAUACAUAUAUCCCUCUCUCUCUCUAUAUAUAUAUAUCUAUAUCUAUCUAUAUAUAGAGAGAGAGAGACAGAGAGAGAAACAAAUAGAGAUUGUAGCCGUAUUAGUCCAGUGAUGUAGAUGUAAAA
Pelobates cultripes (western spadefoot toad) is the source of this 178-nucleotide non-coding RNA. Lineage: Eukaryota; Metazoa; Chordata; Amphibia; Anura; Pelobatidae. The record is from the annotation of a GenBank genome assembly.